AGAGUUACUGGCCACAUGGCAGUUUCUGACAUUAAGCAAAAAAUUUAAGCUGGAUCCUCUAACAAAAGUACCCAGCUCCCAUGGCAAGAGGGAUAAAGAUUUACCAGGAUCUCUCCCAUGCCAAUUAGGGCACAAAGAAAGGAAGUUGAGUGCUUCACAAAUUCAAGCCUUCCAAGAUGCCUACAACUUCUUUACCAAGGAUAAAACCGACUGUAUUGAUUUUCAUGGAAUGAUGUGCACUUUAGCUAAGGUGGGAAUGCAUCUAACCAAGCAUGAUGUCUAUAAUGAAUUAAAAUAUGCUGAUAUUGACCGAGAUGGGAAAGUGAAUUUCUCAGACUUUAUAAAGGUGCUAACAGAUAAGGACAGCUUCCUUAGACCUGUGGUUCCAGAAAAAGACAAGUGUUUAGAUUUUGCUGGCAACCCAGGGAUCCUGUUGUUUGAAAUUCUAUCAAAGCUUGUAGAGAUUUCAGCCUUACCCAGAAAGGCUAUAAUAGAAUUAGUAAGCUAUUUCCAAAGGAAAUUCCAAGAAACCACUGCAGGAAUAUUGUGGAAUCCCUCCCCUACAGAUUAUGGAAAAAGGAGAUUUAAGCCAGACAUGUGCACACCUCUGACCUCAAGCCCAACUGCCUUUGCUAAUGCUACUUGGAUUGCAAUAAUGAAAGAAAAAGAUUUAUUCAGAUAUCUUGAGGAGCUCAGGAGAUGCAAUCCUCCUUCAGACAACCCAUAUUCAAAAAUACCCAUCUUUCCAUUGUUUCCUAAUGUGGAUGGGCUGGUAAUGGGAAAGCCAUUCAAAGACAUGCAUAAAUUAGAAAUGCUUAGGAGAAAGGAGCCUCUGAGUUUCUUUGAUAACUACUUUUUCCAUAAAAGAGAUUGGAAAACACAGGCAGCAAAUAUAAAGCCUGUCGACUCUCCCUCCGGCUACCCAACUGAGAUCCUCACCAUUGACCAAAUGUUGAAGAAAAAGCAGAAAUGGACAGUGACUGAGGCAGCUGCUCUUAAACCACAUGUGAAGAGAGCUAUAGAAACCUAUAACUUAGGAAUUGCUCUUGAGCACCGGAAAGAAAUGCUAAAUUUCUGGCAUAAGAUCCGAGGGGAUUUGGUUGGAAUAGACACUAAAAAUGAGUCCUUUUAUGAAACCUUUUCUACUUAUACAUGGUCCUGGAAUGUUUGCCAAGAAUUACUUUCCCCAAAGGACUUAAGGUUAUAUGAUGGCUGCAUGAAUAGAAAUUCCUUCCACAAUUCUUCAGUCUCUUCCUCUUCGAAUACCAGUGAAUGUGACAUAGAAACAGGAAGAAAAAGAAAACAGAAAGGUUUCAAAGGGUUUCAACAAUGAAAUUUCUACAUUUUCUAAGCAGCUCAUUUCAAUCUACUUUUUCAUAGAUAUCAAAAUUAUGGUUUCUUGAUUUUGUCUAGUACAUUCUUAGCAGCUGGAAAUGUUGACAUCUUUUAAAUUCUAACCAGCAAAAAAGUUUAAGU
RNA transcript from Myotis lucifugus (little brown bat), 1476 nucleotides. It is a transcript of the gene named EF-hand calcium-binding domain-containing protein 3 pseudogene, with no coding region annotated. Lineage: Eukaryota; Metazoa; Chordata; Mammalia; Chiroptera; Vespertilionidae. The transcript has a single exon. The record is from RefSeq and is a predicted model, not a curated record.